Molecule: non-coding RNA, 90 nt
Filed under: Pteridomonas danica
Lineage: Eukaryota; Dictyochophyceae; Pedinellales
Source: RNAcentral
GAAAAAGAAAAAGAAGAAAGAAUAUAUCAGGGAGAAUUGUUUAUUUAUUCCCUUUUUUUUUUUUGUUUCCUUUUUUUGCUCUCUCUUUUU